CGAGCACGCGCGUGUGGCAUAUCAAUAAGCGGAGGAAAAGAAACUAACAAGGAUUCCCUUAGUAACGGCGAGUGAAGCGGGAAGAGCUCAAACUUGAAAUCUUCAAGGUUCUACCUUGACGAAUUGUAGUUUAUAGAAGUGUUUUCUGUUAGUGGAGUGGCAAAAGUUCUUUGGAAUAGGACAUCAUAGAGGGUGAGAAUCCCGUAUUUGGUCAUUCCUCCUAGCGUUGUGAUACACUUUCAACGAGUCGGAUUGUUUGGGAAUGCAGUCCAAAAUGGGUGGUAAAUUUCAUCUAAAGCUAAAUAUUGGCGAGAGACCGAUAGCGAACAAGUACCGUGAGGGAAAGAUGAAAAGAACUUUGAAAAGAGAGUUAAACAGUACGUGAAAUUGUCAAAAGGGAAGCGUUUGACACCAGUGUUGUUUUUCCGAAAAUCAAUUACGAAUGUUUUGUUUUUGAGGAGUUAUGACUUCAUCGGCUUGCUCCUUUCUUUACGAAACUUUCUUAAUGCACUUUUCGGUUAACAAGUCAACAUCAAUUUCUUUUGUUGUAAAAGGGUCAUUGAGGAAGGUGGCUUUCACUUUCGGAUGAAAGUGUUUAUAGCCUUGUGCUUCUAGCAAUCGGAGAGAUUGAGGUCUGCAGCGUAGAUCCUUCGGGGUUAGAUACGUAGAUGCUAAGUUAUAGUUUUUAUAGACAACUUGUUGACUAUGAUUAGUCAUGUAGCUUACUCGUUGACGCUAUUUUACCUACGCUUAGGAUGUUGA
This 762-nucleotide ribosomal RNA is filed under the name uncultured Neocallimastigales. RNAcentral describes it as "partial large subunit ribosomal RNA". It matches the Rfam family "Eukaryotic large subunit ribosomal RNA", at positions 19 to 629 of the family's 3401-position model. Lineage: Eukaryota; Fungi; Neocallimastigomycota; Neocallimastigomycetes; Neocallimastigales. The record is from RNAcentral.